Molecule: ribosomal RNA, 459 nt
Filed under: uncultured bacterium
Lineage: Bacteria
Description: partial 16S ribosomal RNA
Rfam family: Bacterial small subunit ribosomal RNA
Source: RNAcentral
CCUACGGGAGGCAGCAGUGAGGAAUAUUGGUCAAUGGCCGAGAGGCUGAACCAGCCAAGUCGCGUGAGGGAAGACGGCCCUACGGGUUGUAAACCUCUUUUGUCGGGGAGCAAAGAGAGUCACGUGUGACUCAUUGAGAGUACCCGAAGAAAAAGGAUAGGCUAACUCCGGGCCAGCAGCCGAGGUAAUACGGAGGAUGCGAGCGUUAUCCGGAUUGAUUGGGUUUAAAGGGUGCGCAGGGGGAGGUGCAAGUCAGCGGUCAAAUUGCGGGGCUCAACCCCGUACUGCCGUUGAAACUGCAUGCCUUGAGUGCGCGAGAAGUAUGCGGAAUGCGUGGUGUAGCGGUGAAAUGCAUAGAUAUCACGCAGAACUCCGAUUGCGAAGGCAGCAUACCGGCGCGCAACUGACGCUCAUGCACGAAAGCGUGGGUAUCGAACAGGAUUAGAUACCCCAGUAGUC